AUGAAGCAAAUGAGUAAUCUUUUCUUCUGUCCUGUGGUUCACCUGCCUGUGAUCACCCGUGCAAGUAGUAUCACACAGCUGUAUGUGGCUGUCCCACCUGAGGCUGGGUCUGGACAUCUCAUCAACCCUAAGAGGAUCGUGGCAGAAAUAUCUUUCCAUUCACCUACCAACAUCUUUAUAGGAUCUUCUUCACUACUGGGACCAAGAAAUCAUCCCAAAGGCUCCAUAAUGUCAAAUGAUUCAGACUGUGAACAACCUUCAGAAAACACACAGCAGACAGAGGCUAUCCCUAUUGUGGACUUGGAACCACCUCUUGCCCUUCCCCCUCCUCCCGCUCCAGAGGAUGAAUGGAGUCCUAUUCCCGAGCACACCAACAUGCAUGGUAAAGUAUACAUGCCCGACUUGAUUCAUUUACAUUCUCUCUCUUUAUAUCUUAAGGCACAUCUUCCGAUUUUGCUUUUCUCCUGUUGUUACUAUUUGG
RNAcentral lists this long non-coding RNA (481 nucleotides) under Camelus dromedarius (Arabian camel). RNAcentral's name for it is "lncRNA (ENSCDRG00005008965.1)". The record is from RNAcentral. Lineage: Eukaryota; Metazoa; Chordata; Mammalia; Artiodactyla; Camelidae.